GGUGGCUCAGGGUAGAGCACUUGCCUUGCAAGCAUGAGGCCCUGGGUUCGAUUCCUCAGCACCA
Molecule: transfer RNA, 64 nt
Filed under: Dipodomys ordii (Ord's kangaroo rat)
Lineage: Eukaryota; Metazoa; Chordata; Mammalia; Rodentia; Heteromyidae
Rfam family: tRNA
About the family: Transfer RNA (tRNA) molecules are approximately 80 nucleotides in length. Their secondary structure includes four short double-helical elements and three loops (D, anti-codon, and T loops). Further hydrogen bonds mediate the characteristic L-shaped molecular structure. tRNAs have two regions of fundamental functional importance: the anti-codon, which is responsible for specific mRNA codon recognition, and the 3' end, to which the tRNAs corresponding amino acid is attached (by aminoacyl-tRNA synthetases). tRNAs cope with the degeneracy of the genetic code in two manners: having more than one tRNA (with a specific anti-codon) for a particular amino acid; and 'wobble' base-pairing, i.e. permitting non-standard base-pairing at the 3rd anti-codon position.
Source: Rfam by way of RNAcentral